Molecule: ribosomal RNA, 614 nt
Filed under: uncultured marine archaeon FIN654
Lineage: Archaea
Description: bacterial SSU rRNA
Rfam family: Archaeal small subunit ribosomal RNA
Source: RNAcentral
UUCCGGUUGAUCCUGCCGGACCUGACUGCUAUCGGAUUAAUACUAAGCCAUGCGAGUUUUUGUAGUAAUACAAGGCAUACGGCUCAAUAACACGUAGUCAACCUACCUUAUGGACGAGGAUAAUCUCGGGAAACUGAGCAUAAUACUCGAUAGAUCAUAAUGCCUGGAAUGGUUUAUGGUUGAAAUGAUUCGUCGCCAUAAGAUGGGACUGCGGCCUAUCAGCUUGUUGGUGAGGUAAUGGCCCACCAAGGCGAUUACAGGUACGGGCUCUGAGAGGAGAAGCCCGGAGAUGGGUACUGAGACAAGGACCCAGGCCCUAUGGGGCGCAGCAGGCGAGAAAACUUUGCAAUGUGCGAAAGCACGACAAGGUUAGUCCGAGUGAUUUCUGCUAAAGAGAUCUUUUGCAAGUUCUAAAACCACUAGUGAAUAAGGGGUGGGCAAGUUCUGGUGUCAGCCGCCGCGGUAAAACCAGCACCUCGAGUGGUCAGGAGGAUUAUUGGGCCUAAAGCAUCCGUAGCCGGCUCUGUAAGUUUCGGUUAAUCCAUGUGCUCACACAUGGGCUGUCGGAAAUACUGCAUAGCUAGGGAAUGGGAGAGUAGACGGUACUCAGUAGG